GCCUCGUUGGUGUAGUCCGGCCCAACGGAUCAAGUAAAAUCCGUUCCGGAGAAUCAUUCGGCCCUUUCGAGGCCGAGACCCGGGUUCGAAUCCCGGACGAGGCA
This 104-nucleotide transfer RNA is filed under the name Candidatus Woesearchaeota archaeon. Its description in RNAcentral is "tRNA-Glu". The record is from RNAcentral. Lineage: Archaea; Nanobdellati; Candidatus Woesearchaeota.